GGCUUAGAAUCAACGCUGGCGGCGUGCCUAACACAUGCAAGUCGAACGAGAAAGUGGAGCAAUCCAUGAGUAAAGUGGCGACCGGGUGAGUAACACGUGACUAACCUACCCUCGAUGGGGGGAUAACUCCGGGAAACCGGAGCUAAUACCGCAUAACAUCGCAAGAUCAAAGCAGCAAUGCGCUUGGGGAGGGGUCGCGGCUGAUUAGCUAGUUGGCGGGGUAACGGCCCACCAAGGCGAAGAUCGGUAUCCGGCCUGAGAGGGCGCACGGACACACUGGAACUGAAACACGGUCCAGACUCCUACGGGAGGCAGCAGUGGGGAAUUUUGCGCAAUGGGGGAAACCCUGACGCAGCAACGCCGCGUGGAGGAUGAAGCCCUUUGGGGCGUAAACUCCUUUCGACCAAGACGAUAAUGACGGUACUGGUGGAAGAAGCACCGGCUAACUCUGUGCCAGCCGCCGC
RNAcentral lists this ribosomal RNA (464 nucleotides) under uncultured bacterium. RNAcentral's name for it is "bacterial SSU rRNA". It matches the Rfam family "Bacterial small subunit ribosomal RNA", at positions 21 to 518 of the family's 1533-position model. The record is from RNAcentral.